GCGAAUUUAGGAUUUGAACAUCAUGAAUGGCAACGGAACUUACUAACCACUUGAGUUGGGUGUAUAUGAAAUUUAGUAUUUGUAUAUAUUUAGUAGAUUUCUCAACACACGUACGAAAUGUUAUACUGUCUUCAAAGAAGCUGAAAAAAUUUACUUGUCACACAAAUAUCUUCUAAAACUUCAAAAGAAACCAAAAACAAAUAAACACAACACAAGAAUAUAAGUUCCCACCAUCAGCCAAAUUCAGCUUCACCAUAAGUUUACCAGUCUAAUAUAUCAGCAAUCUAUACCGCACACAGCUGACUAACGAUCAGCUUGGGCACGUUUAUGCAUCCACUCAUAGCUGAAGUAUCAGUGUCUCGAUAGCCUCCUAACCCUGCAAUAUUAGCUCAUGUAAGUCCCCUACUAUAUCAAAAAUGAAGCAGCCAGACACUUAUUAAACCUUACCGAGGAGAACGAGACCGGCAAAUGGAACGAGAAAGCGAGUGUUAACUAGAG
This 498-nucleotide long non-coding RNA is filed under the name Nicotiana tabacum (common tobacco). RNAcentral describes it as "long non-coding RNA (NTAB_LNC011882)". The record is from RNAcentral. Lineage: Eukaryota; Viridiplantae; Streptophyta; Magnoliopsida; Solanales; Solanaceae.